AGUUGGUGAAAACAAACGUAGCUUCUAAUAUACCAUUUUUUUUAAUUUUUUUUUUGACAGAAUCUGAAGAAACAGGUAGCCAACACAAUACCGAUGAAAUACAGGAAGCCAUUUUGUGGUACAACAUAUUUCUAGGUUUUGCAAAUUGAUGGUGUAAAAUUCACAUUAAUAUUUCUUUAAAAAAUCCCAAUGAGGAAUUCUUCUUCACCAUGCAUCAUGAGGAUGAUACUUACACAUUGUUAGAUUUUGUUCUACUUUUAAAUGACAUCAAGGAGUUGAUUAAUGAGUUGAACAGAACCAAUUGUUUGUUUCAAAUUUGUUAGAAGCAUGAGGCAGAAGUUUCAAGAAGCUAUAGCACAAGGGUUUUUUUUCCCCUGUCAACAAAUCUUCCUCAAGUCUCUUCCACAAUUUCUUUGUCUGCACCGGUUGUGUCAAUUUCAACCUACAGAAGUGAAUCUCCGGCCAAGGAAUCUGAGAACCAAGUUCAACAUGGGGAAGUUGAUAGACAUUACAAGAAGCUUAACAAUGGAAAGGGGAGUAAAGCAGCAGUGCUUUCUCUGGAAUCUGCAUUUUUUCUUUGUCGGUCUCCUUGUUUUUAAGCCUAAAAAAUGAGAUUGGACUUGAGGCUGCUGUGACACAUAAUUUUGAAUAAAUGUGAAUCACGUUCCCCAUCCCUCUCAGCAAGUUGUAAUAUAUGACUCAAGAUGCUUGCCAGCUGAUCCAUAGGACAGGAAAGAAGUGAAACUGAUUGAAAGAGGUCAGUGGAGUUUUGUAACUGAACAAGACAUGACAGUAUCACCUUGUUGCUUGGUUGGCUUCACUUUUGUGUACUUUUUAUUAAAAUGAAGUAACGGCUAAUGGUAUGAAAUUAAGGAUGAUAAUCCCACGGAUCUAUAUUACUGAAUGUCCAUAUUUCCGAAUAUUGAUUUAUAUUUUUUGGAUUUUAUGUCACAUACUUGUCUUGGAAUAAUAUAAAAAGCUGUAGCUUACAGAUAGUAUUUAUUGGGAAUCUCUUGUUUGUAUGAUGCGAUCAUGGUUUUGGCAUAUAAAUUAUUACUUUAUCUUUCAUGCAAGACUUUGGAAUAUUCGCUUACAUCUUUAUUUUAUCAGUUGG
This is a long non-coding RNA of Ziziphus jujuba (common jujube), 1114 nucleotides long. RefSeq lists it as uncharacterized. The record is from RefSeq and is a predicted model, not a curated record. Lineage: Eukaryota; Viridiplantae; Streptophyta; Magnoliopsida; Rosales; Rhamnaceae. The transcript is spliced from 5 exons.